Long non-coding RNA from Manduca sexta (tobacco hornworm), 527 nucleotides. RefSeq lists it as uncharacterized. NCBI's taxonomy places the organism in Eukaryota, Metazoa, Arthropoda, Insecta, Lepidoptera, Sphingidae. The record is from RefSeq and is a predicted model, not a curated record. The transcript is spliced from 3 exons.
ACUAAUCUGAAAUGCAACACAAUCAAUCACGGAGUUGUUUAACGAUAGCAAUAUAUAAUUCGUUUCUCCCUGAAGAAUCUCCAUAUAUCAAACAAAGUUCCCACUAAGUAUGUAUGUAUAUCACAAAGUAAAGUAAGUAAACUUUUAUUACAGUUUUGGAACUCGGCAGUGAUCGCAAGACUUGCGUGGAGCCCGAAGCGUUUCUGGUGUACAGUCGCAAGAACGUAAUUGGCAGGAUCAGCAUAGAGAAUGAAAACAACGACGCAGUGUUGCCGAUAAAGGAACUGAAGGAAGUCAGCGCUCUAGCCGUGCAUGUGUCUGGAGCUAAAUUGUACUGGUCAGACAGCAAAAUGAAAACAAUCAGUCGAUGUUCUAUAGACGGAACUAAUGUGGAGAAGAUAUUAGAGUGGAUGGGAUUAGUUGAAGGUCUCGCAAUCGACUGGGCGGGGCAGAACAUCUACUGGACGGACACGGCGACGCAGCGCAUCGAGGUGGCGCGGCUCGACGGCUCCAGCAGGAGCGCUCAU